RNAcentral lists this ribosomal RNA (471 nucleotides) under Bacillus sp. iMCIII11. Its description in RNAcentral is "bacterial SSU rRNA". It matches the Rfam family "Bacterial small subunit ribosomal RNA", at positions 8 to 485 of the family's 1533-position model. The record is from RNAcentral. Lineage: Bacteria; Bacillati; Bacillota; Bacilli; Caryophanales; Bacillaceae.
AGAGUUUGAUCCUGGCUCAGGACGAACGCUGGCGGCGUGCCUAAUACAUGCAAGUCGAGCGGACCUCUUCGGAGGUCAGCGGCGGACGGGUGAGUAACACGUGGGCAACCUGCCUGUAAGACUGGGAUAACUCCGGGAAACCGGAGCUAAUACCGGAUAGUAUCUUGAACCGCAUGGUUCAAGUUGGAAAGACGGUUUCGGCUGUCACUUACAGAUGGGCCCGCGGCGCAUUAGCUAGUUGGUGAGGUAAUGGCUCACCAAGGCAACGAUGCGUAGCCGACCUGAGAGGGUGAUCGGCCACACUGGGACUGAGACACGGCCCAGACUCCUACGGGAGGCAGCAGUAGGGAAUCUUCCGCAAUGGACGAAAGUCUGACGGAGCAACGCCGCGUGAGUGAUGAAGGUUUUCGGAUCGUAAAACUCUGUUGUUAGGGAAGAACAAGUGCGAGAGUAACUGCUCGCACCUGACGG